ACCAAUUCUAGUGUCUGAUGAACCCUCUACACAUGGUGACAAUGCAAGGUGUAAAACCAAAAAAUCAACAAAUAAAUCAAGUUUGGAUGUACCCUUGGAUGUUGAAAAUGAAGGUAGAAACCAAACUGCAUUCUCUCUCUACACAGAAUUGGGCAAAACAGGA
Long non-coding RNA from Pecten maximus, 163 nucleotides. RefSeq lists it as uncharacterized. The record is from RefSeq and is a predicted model, not a curated record. The transcript is spliced from 3 exons. NCBI's taxonomy places the organism in Eukaryota, Metazoa, Mollusca, Bivalvia, Pectinida, Pectinidae.